This 227-nucleotide long non-coding RNA is filed under the name Phaseolus vulgaris (common bean). RNAcentral describes it as "long non-coding RNA (PVUL_LNC000291)". The record is from RNAcentral. Lineage: Eukaryota; Viridiplantae; Streptophyta; Magnoliopsida; Fabales; Fabaceae.
UUGAUGGAGACAAAUCCCCAUAGCUAACCUCAUAGCUUUGUUGCUUUAAGCACUUGCACUGCACCAGAUUUUAAACCAGAAUUGUACCUGCACUGCACCAGAUUUUAAACCAGAAAAAACAGCAGUAUUGCAUAGCAUAUGAAUAGGUUUAAAAGUGCAGAAUUAACUCCCUGUUACAGCUAGCUUCACCUAGUAUGGUGAGCUAUUUUUCUCCCCCUUUGGAUUCA